GCACGUGAAAUAUUUCAAAGGUGAGGGCGUAUAUA
Molecule: small RNA, 35 nt
Filed under: Bombyx mori (domestic silkworm)
Lineage: Eukaryota; Metazoa; Arthropoda; Insecta; Lepidoptera; Bombycidae
Description: ovarian small RNA-16395
Source: RNAcentral